RNAcentral lists this transfer RNA (77 nucleotides) under Balbiania investiens. RNAcentral's name for it is "tRNA-His". It matches the Rfam family "tRNA". From Rfam's summary of the family: Transfer RNA (tRNA) molecules are approximately 80 nucleotides in length. Their secondary structure includes four short double-helical elements and three loops (D, anti-codon, and T loops). Further hydrogen bonds mediate the characteristic L-shaped molecular structure. tRNAs have two regions of fundamental functional importance: the anti-codon, which is responsible for specific mRNA codon recognition, and the 3' end, to which the tRNAs corresponding amino acid is attached (by aminoacyl-tRNA synthetases). tRNAs cope with the degeneracy of the genetic code in two manners: having more than one tRNA (with a specific anti-codon) for a particular amino acid; and 'wobble' base-pairing, i.e. permitting non-standard base-pairing at the 3rd anti-codon position. Lineage: Eukaryota; Rhodophyta; Florideophyceae; Balbianiales; Balbianiaceae. The record is from RNAcentral.
GCGGGGAGAGCUCGGUUGGUUCGAAGCAGCAGAUUGUGGAUCUGAAGGUCGUGGGUUCGAAUCCCAUUCCUCGCCGA